RNAcentral lists this long non-coding RNA (396 nucleotides) under Rattus norvegicus (Norway rat). Its description in RNAcentral is "long non-coding RNA NONRATT018961". The record is from RNAcentral. Lineage: Eukaryota; Metazoa; Chordata; Mammalia; Rodentia; Muridae.
CUGAGGUGGGAGGGCACGGUGCACAACGGUGCCCAUGCCAUCCCAGCGCUCUAGCCUGAUGCAGCCAAUCCCAGAGGAGACCCGCAAGACCCCUUCUGCGGCAGCAGAGGACAAACGGUGGUCCAGGCCUGAAUGCCAGCUAUGGACGGGGAUGUUGCUCCUGGGCACCUGCUUGCUGUACUGCACGCGUGUCACCAUGCCUGUCUGUACCGUUGCCAUGAGCCAGGACUUCGGCUGGAACAAGAAGGAGGCUGCAUUGGAGGUGAGAAGGUCAUCUUGCUGUCAGCCUCUGCCUGGGGCUUCAUCACUGUCACCACACCACUGCUUGCCCACCUCGGCAGCGGCCACCUGGCCUUCGUGACAUUCUCUCGAAUACUCACCGGUCUGCUCCAAGGU